AGCAGCCGCCGCGGGAAUACGAAGGGUGCAAGCGUUAAUCGGAAUUACUGGGCGUAAAGCGUGCGUAGGCGGUUUGUUAAGUCUGCUGUGAAAUCCCCGGGCUCAACCUGGGAAUGGCAAUGGAUACUGGCAAGCUAGAGUGUGUCAGAGGAUGGUGGAAUUCCCGGUGUAGCGGUGAAAUGCGUAGAGAUCGGGAGGAACAUCAGUGGCGAAGGCGGCCAUCUGGGACAACACUGACGCUGAGGCACGAAAGCGUGGGGAGCAAACAGGAUUAGAUACCCCGGUAGUCCCUGUCUCUUAUAA
Molecule: ribosomal RNA, 303 nt
Filed under: uncultured bacterium
Lineage: Bacteria
Description: partial 16S ribosomal RNA
Rfam family: Bacterial small subunit ribosomal RNA
Source: RNAcentral